GUGCGACAUUGCGAGGUGGGGUCCUCUCCCCACGCCAACCUGCCUUCCCGGGCAAGGUGGAAAGCUCUUCAUUGAGCGGAUGUGGCCGGCACGCGGUGCCGGCAAAGAAACGGGACACG
RNAcentral lists this non-coding RNA (119 nucleotides) under Sutterella parvirubra. RNAcentral describes it as "SAM-I-IV sequence". It matches the Rfam family "SAM-I/IV (S-adenosyl methionine) riboswitch aptamer". Rfam says of the family: It is found upstream of a number of genes which code for proteins involved in methionine or cysteine biosynthesis. It has been found mostly in the order Actinomycetales. RNAcentral also lists the same sequence under 1 other name. Lineage: Bacteria; Pseudomonadati; Pseudomonadota; Betaproteobacteria; Burkholderiales; Sutterellaceae. The record is from RNAcentral.